Oncorhynchus keta (chum salmon) is the source of this 321-nucleotide long non-coding RNA. RefSeq lists it as uncharacterized. Lineage: Eukaryota; Metazoa; Chordata; Actinopteri; Salmoniformes; Salmonidae. The record is from RefSeq and is a predicted model, not a curated record. The transcript is spliced from 3 exons.
GCCUCUAGGUGGAUGCUGCAGUGUACCCAAGAGCCUCUAGGUGGAUGCUGCAGUCUACCCAAGAGCCUCUAGGUGGAUGCUGCAGUGUACCCAAGAGCCUCUAGGUGGAUGCUGCAGUCUACCCAAGAGCCUCUAGGUGGAUGCUGCAGUCUACCCAAGAGCCUCUAGGUGGAUGCUGCAGUGUACCCAAGAGCCUCUAGGUGGAUGCUGCAGGGUACCCAAGAGCCUCUAGGUGGAUGCUGCAGUCUACCCAAGAGCCUCUAGGUGGAUGCUGCAGUCUACCCAAGAGCCUCUAGGUGGAUGCUGCAGUGUACCCAAGAG